AAUCAUCAGCAUGUGCAAUCUUUCAGUGGAAUAAGAAGUCAUGAGAGAAGGGGAUAACAAAAUCAGAAUCCUUGUUCAGGAUUCUGUCUCACCUUUCAGUUUUUUAACCUCUUACCAUAUCUUCUUCUGUUUGCCUUGAUGACCCAAGCCAUAAUCAAUUAUCACUUAGCCUUGAACAAAUGUCCUGAACACCAGCCUCAUAAAAUUAAGUACAAUAUAAAUGUAUACAGCUACCACAAAAGUGGAAGCUCCUGCAUUGAAAUAGAACAAGAAGAGGCAAAUCUUGUGAUAUUCACAGCCGAAAGGAAGAGGAGAGAACUGGAAAGAAUGAAGAUAGCAGGUCAGAUUUGAUAUCUGGAUCAGGAAUUUGAAGCGUCCUCCACAAGAAAAAAGAUUCAAGAGACUGUAGUCAGAGGAGAUUAUUGUCUGCCUCUCUUUACGAGAGACACAUGAUGAAAAGAAAAAAAAGACACUUUCACAUAGCUAGUCCCUAUGUUAGCCUAUUCCUCUGAACACAUCUCACUGUUUCAGUUAUAUGGAUUAACCACUGGCUCUUGACCUCAGACACAAACACACACGAUAGUACCUGAAAUAGAUUGGGGAGAUGAGUCACAAUAUUCAGAAAGAAUUUCACAAUAAAUGGACUCCUUUGUUCUUGCAACUGUCUGUUGAAACUAACACUUCAGGGUUUUUUUAUUAUGGUGCUAUUAUUUUGUGCUCAUUAUGCUCCCAUGUUAAGUUUCUAUUUGUUUUUUGAAUCAGCUAAUGAAUACAGCCAGUUGGUUUUGUAGAGGAGAGGAUAUGAAAAUAAAAAACUGUUUGGGAAUAAAUA
Molecule: long non-coding RNA, 832 nt
Organism: Dermochelys coriacea (leatherback sea turtle)
Lineage: Eukaryota; Metazoa; Chordata; Testudines; Dermochelyidae
Exons: 3
Source: RefSeq, a predicted model, not a curated record